GUCGAGAAUUUUUCUCAAUGGGCGCAAGCCUGAAGGAGCGACGCCGCGUGGGGGAUGAAGGGCUUCGGCUCGUAAACCCCUGUCAUUUGCGAACAAACCUCAUUCAUGAAUAGUGGGUGAGCUGAUUGUAGCGAAAGAGGAAGGGACGGCUAACUCUGUGCCAGCAGCCGCGGUAAUACAGAGGUCCCAAGCGUUGUUCGGAUUCACUGGGCGUAAAGGGUGCGUAGGUGGUGGGGUAAGUCUCGUGUGAAAGCUCGCGGCUCAACCGCGAAAAGUCACGGGAUACUAUUCUGCUGGAGGGUUGGAGGGGGGACUGGAAUUCUCGGUGUAGCAGUGAAAUGCGUAGAUAUCGAGAGGAACACCAGUGGCGAAGGCGAGUCCCUGGACAACACCUGACACUGAGGCACGAAAGCUAGGGGAGCAAACAGGAUUAGAAACCCUAGUAGUCC
Molecule: ribosomal RNA, 449 nt
Filed under: uncultured bacterium
Lineage: Bacteria
Description: bacterial SSU rRNA
Rfam family: Bacterial small subunit ribosomal RNA
Source: RNAcentral